Molecule: long non-coding RNA, 1182 nt
Filed under: Vulpes vulpes (red fox)
Lineage: Eukaryota; Metazoa; Chordata; Mammalia; Carnivora; Canidae
Description: lncRNA (ENSVVUG00000012265.1)
Rfam family: mir-193 microRNA precursor family (bases 35-106)
Source: RNAcentral
CGGGCCCGCACCGCCAAGUCGGAGACGCGCGGGAGCCGAGGGCUGGGUCUUUGCGGGCGAGAUGAGGGUGUCGGUUCAACUGGCCUACAAAGUCCCAGUCCUCGGCCCCCAGGACCGGCGGCUUCUCCUAGCUCCAGGCCGGCAGGGCGGGAGCUCGGCGCCAGCGGGAGCGGGACCCGGCGGGGGGCGCACGGGAGGGGGUGGGGCGCCGGGCGCGGGCCGCGUGCUCAUUCCGGGGAUCCCCGUGCUUCGCAGCAACAGUGGGAAUGUGCUCAGAGCUUUAACUCGGCCGCCGUGUGCAGGCGGUGUCAGGUUUCCAGGCGCAGACUUGCAACUCUGGUCACUGGAGAAGAUGGCUGUCUGCAGGACCCUGACCGUGUGAUCAUCCUUCUGGCCAGCCUGGCCUCUUGCUCCUUAGGCUCUGGUCAUCCCAGCUGGGCCUCCACAGCUCUCCCAGAGACAGUUUUUAAAGGGCUGGGUUUGCUCAGGAGCCUCAGCAUUCUUCCACCCAGGAGAAAGGACAGCGUCAAGGUGCUCCUAUUAAGCAGCCGGAGAACUACUCCGGCUCCGUGGCCACAAGUUAGAGCUGAAGAGAUUGUUGAGGCUCUGCCUUCAGAGCCCAGUCGAGAAGAUGCGACCAUCUGCAGCUGGCAGAAUUUUACAUCCGAUGCUUUUCCCUGCUGCUCAGAGUCAUCUUUUGAUCCUCAUUUUACAGGAUGGGCUGAGGCAUGAGUGGUCCGGAUACCCACCAGAAGACACAGCUAGGAUGGGCAGAGCUGGGGCUGACUCCCAGGGCCAGGGCUUUCAGUAAUAAUUACUUAUAAUUAGCAUUCGGUUCUAACAAGCAUAUCCUGAUGCUUACUAAUACUUAAGCAUUUGGUCAGCCAGUAUCCGGAGGUGCGUGGGUGGGUGCUGCUGUCUCAUGGAGGAGGUAUCUGCACCACAGGGAGGCUGGGUUCCCACCCCUGGGUCUUCCUGACGUGACUGCGCACCUGGCCAGCCUGCAUCCACAGCUGCCCCCAUUCAGCCUGCCAUGUGGCCCAGGAUCCCAGUUCUGGGCCGGGCAAGAUUUAACCCCAUUUUCAAAACACACCAGAGGCGUGGCCUAGGUAACGCAGCUGUGGCUGGCAGAGGCCCCUGGUUCCCUGCUCCCUGCCUGCACAGAGGUAUCUAGGAAAGAGC